GGGGGAAAUCACGUGGUCAGAAUUGAGAAAACAUGGCCGCCGAUGCCUCGCUUAGAUUAAAAAAUUGUGUGUUCAAACAGAGUCAGAAGCUCAGGAAAAGUACAAAACUGCUCAAAUAGGCACCAAACAGUAUUGAAAGGGCCUUCGGGGUUUGGAAGCGAACCUUUCAUGUCCUUCAUGGUGAGAUUAGAAUGAAGCCUGCCAAUGUUAGCCGCAUCAUCAUUGCCUGUGCUGUUCUUCAUAAUCUGCGGUUGAUGUGGGGGAAUCAGCAGUGGAUCCGGAGCUUUUAGAAGAGGUUGCCAAGUGAGAUAUGUUUCAGGCUGUAUCGGAUGGGAGAAGAGUUAGAGAUACCAUUGUCGCAAAUUACUUUACUUAGGAAAUUAACAGAUUAAAUAUAAAUGUUUUCAUUAUAUUUGUGCUUGUAUAUCUCGGAGUCAUACACUGAUAGUUUGGUUCCUUGUUUGUUUAUAUGGGUUUAACAGCAUUGGAACAACCAUUCAAAACAAAAUAUAUUAUUCCAAUGCCUAUAUAAUAUUUUUGAAACAAUGUUUAGGUAAUAACCUCAUUUGUACUCACUCAUCUUUGGAAUUUUUUAAAUGAGAAUAUCAGUCUGUACUGUGAUUCUUUCGUAGAACUUUUCAUGUUUGUGCCAAGCUGUUCUGUUUGGCAUAGUACACCAUCUGCAUCUCACUCAGUGACCUGUAUAUGUUUAAAUAUUUUUGUUUUUCUUGGUUUACUCUAUUAACUACUUACACAAAUGAUAAGCAUUGUUCUGAAUGAUUUUGAUUAUUGAGAGCCAUCAGCUAUUUUAUUAUGGUUAUUGUUAAACAAUGAUCUGAUUCUAUUGGUUCAGUAUGUCCGUUUCAUUGUUAGCAAAUAAUUUCAAUUUAAAGAAUAUGACAUUGUCAUUAUAUAGUUUAAAGUUGAAUUUUUAACUUAUAUAAAUGAAACAAGGUCCAAGAUUAGUUAUAUACAUACAUAUAUACAUACUUAGUCUGAGGCUCUAUCUUGUUACUGUUGCAACUUGGGUGUUCAUCUGUAUCUGCUGAUGCACAUCUUGCCUGAUCUCUGAUGAACAUACAUUAUAGAACACAGUUAUAGAUCUAUUAUGUUAAGAUAUUAUUUGUUCCAUUGAGUCAACUUUGUUAAAGCAAGAGAUAUUUUGAAGUUUUUAUUUGUUUAUACAUGCGGUACAGUAGAGAUAUAAUCUUGGAAACUGAUUCUUACACUGUUAAAAUCGUCAAUAAUCGCAGUUUAGUCUAAACAUAAUAAAAUCUUGGGCAAAAUACCACUUUUGCCCCCCGCCAGAGGGUUGGAUAUGCACACGGAAUGAGCCCAUUGUGUUCAUUCAGUAUGUAUUCACACCUCUGGCGGGAGGCUUAAGUGUUAUAUUGCCAAAUCUUGACAAAUUAAUGAACAGUCAAACCAAUACAAUUUUCUGAUUGUUACCACAAUAACAGCUCGAUCAGAUAAUGGCUUAAGACUGUAUGACAGACUUGUUUAACAACGGUAAUUUCAAACAUAACUUUUUAACCAUUUGUUUCGUAGAUUAAAUAAUUGUACCCCACUCUUGAUUUUCCCAACGAUGGCAGCUUCCAAGUCCAUAAUAAUCCAUCUUGCUAUUUUGACAAUAAAUGUCGUGUCCAAACCAUAUUUGAUACGUAUUAAACGUUAUUCUAUGUCUGGUAUGGCUAAUUUGCAGUACUUAUUCAUAAUUUAAUAGCAUUUUUAGCAAAGUUCUACAGAAAUACUUACCUGCGGUCACGCUGGCCUAAACUUUAUAUUGCCACUGUAAUGAAGUUAUAGGAUCAAAGCUUAUUGAUGAUUGUUGUUGUAAACUAGUUACCUUGUAAAUUGAAAUGUGUCUGAGUUGGUGUCUGUAGCUAAAAGGUUUCAUGUCCGCUUCGAGGUUAUAUGUACAGUCUGUCCUCUAUCCGGCUCAUGUAAAACGAGUACUGAAAAGAGACCAAUGCAAGACUAUCAUUUCAAUAAAAAAUAUUCUUAAUAAUACUAACUUGGGACGAAAAAAAUGCUACUAAUCAUCAAA
Molecule: long non-coding RNA, 2047 nt
Organism: Dreissena polymorpha
Lineage: Eukaryota; Metazoa; Mollusca; Bivalvia; Myida; Dreissenidae
Exons: 3
Source: RefSeq, a predicted model, not a curated record